RNAcentral lists this ribosomal RNA (355 nucleotides) under uncultured bacterium. RNAcentral's name for it is "bacterial SSU rRNA". It matches the Rfam family "Bacterial small subunit ribosomal RNA", at positions 527 to 881 of the family's 1533-position model. The record is from RNAcentral.
GUAGGGAGCGAGCGUUGUCCGGAAUUACUGGGUGUAAAGGGAGCGUAGGCGGGACGGCAAGUCAGAUGUGAAAACUAUGGGCUCAACCCAUAGACUGCAUUUGAAACUGUUGUUCUUGAGUGAGGUAGAGGUAAGCGGAAUUCCUGGUGCAGCGGUGAAAUGCGUAGAGAUCAGGAGGAACAUCGGUGGCGAAGGCGGCUUACUGGGCCUUUACUGACGCUGAGGCUCGAAAGCGUGGGGAGCAAACAGGAUUAGAUACCCUGGUAGUCCACGCCGUAAACGAUGAUUACUAGGUGUGGGGGGACUGACCCCUUCCGUGCCGCAGUUAACACAAUAAGUAAUCCACCUGGGGAGU